GCCUGGCAUGUUUACCAGUACAAGGAGCAUCAAUCUCAUUAGGUAAAUGGAGAAUUUGGAUUCUGGAGAAACCACAGUCUGCCUGAAGCUUUGGUUCCAUCCUCAUGCCUGCAUCCAGUCCAGGUGCCCUAGCUAUGCUGGACAAAAGGAUUCUCGAUCGAUGCAGCCCCUGAAGAUGCGGCUUCAGCCAGGACUGUUUGCACCACACACACAGAGGCCAAGUGCAGAUGACCCCAAGGCCAGUUCUUCCUGGGCCAGAGAGUCAACUCCUCACUCCCAAGCUCGGAGGCAGUGACAAUGGUUACAGUCAGAGGCUGAGGAAUUCUGACACCUGGGUUCUCAGAUGCUGCCAGAGGCUGUGGAAUUUUGACUUCUCAGACACAAGACCUUCUACUCAAGGUCAAGAGCCACAGGUCCUGACACUGCAGGUCUGCAUAGCAGCUGGAAGACCUGUAGAGUGAAGAGUCCUGGGCUUGGGAGAUGGCUCCGUGGGUAAAGGUCUUACCAUGGAAACAUGAGGACCCCAGGAAUGCUGGGCAUAACAGCGAUUUCUGUAAUUCCAUCACUCCUGUGUUGAGAUGGAUGGUAGAGACAGGAGAAUUCUUUGAAGCCCAUGGGCUGGCUGGCUUCAUAUAUGCAGCACUGAAUUUGAGGGACUUUGCCUUGAACAUGGUGGGAGGUGAGGACUGAGAGCUAACAUUGUCCUUUGACAUCUACAUCAGUGACAAGACACAACAGCACACGAUAAAAAAACAAAACAGAUGGAUCUGGAGAGAUGGCUCAGUGGUUAGAAGCACCACUGACCUUGCAGGAGACUCAAGUUUGGCUCCCAGAUCACAAUUGCCUGUAACUCCAGGGGCUCAGAUGCCCUCUUCUGGUUCUCUGGACACCUGCAAUGUGCCCCUAGUGCAUGUGUGCGUGCACACACACACACACACACACACACACACACACACACACACCAGUUAGUUUUAAAAUGCCUCAGCUAGCUCAAAGGCUGGGCAGUUCUAAUCCUCCCCUUGGCUAGUACACAUUUUCCUCCUAUAAUCCUGGCUUAACGCCCUCUAGUUCUAUAUUUUAUUUUUGUUGCCCUGGUUCCUUCUGGGUGGCUCCCUAGUCUUUGCUGCACAAGAUGCUUCUGGAUAGCCUUUCCAGGGGCCCAUAUUCCUUCUCACCUACAUUUCGGAUAAUUUUUCCUUCUGCAGCUCUAAAUCCGAUCCAUCUCCCUCUGAAUUAUGGCAAUUCUCUGUUUUCCCUUCUCUCAGUUGCUAGCCCAUGCAAAUCUAAAGGUCCUGCUUCAGUCUGUCUUCCCAACCACUGGUCAUUGUCUCUUUAUUGACCAAUCAAAAGCCAGUUGGGGACAAGAACCUUCAGCAUUUGGACAUGCAGAUUCCCGAUUUUGAGGGCUGGAUUAAUUGGAAGCCUUGGAACCAAUCCCCAGCAUCAUCUUUUCUGUCCAAAUUUUAAAAAAGGCUCUUCUGUCAGACAUAAAUUGAGCAUAACCAUAACAGUUAUGUAAUUUACAAAGUACGAUAUGCAAUUAACAUCCAGUCUGUCAUAUUUGGCAAUUUAGAUAAAGUAUUCUAUUAUCUAUCUUAGCUUAAUGAGUUACAAUUCUGUACCUAAAUCAUGUUUGAUUUCAACUUGUAUUACCAUCUGAAAACCGUCUUUUGAAUCUAGAACACCUUUAAUGCUAAACAGCUUAUGUUCAAUUGUGAGGUUAUAAUUAGUCUUCAACCUCGUCAGUCAGAGAUUUGAUAAGGAAUUAAAUAUUACCUGAGUAUGUAGGAGGAACACAGACGCAGCUUCCAAAACCUUUUCUUCCCUGUUCAAAACUAUACCAUCUCCAAGUUAUCCCUUAAAAUGACAACCCAUCUAUAAUUUGUAAAAUAAUCAUAACCAGACACUCAAACCCAAGGAAUCAGACUGAUGACUCCCCAUGGCUUCCUCCUGCCGGAUAGGGGUGACAAGAAAUUCUUUAAAGGGGUGGGGAGGGGAAGGAAGAUUAGAAAAAGUGCUAGGCUUAAGACAGGUAGAUUUAGCAUCUGUUAUCCAUUUUCUGUUCAGGGCUGAACUGAGGUUCUGACUGGGUCCAUCUGAAAGGCUGGAUGAACCAAAUCCAUAGGGAAUCAGUAGCAUCCCUGAGGCUGUUCUAGAAGUGAGGCUCUGGACAGCACCAGGAAGCAGGGGACCGGAGCGGCAGGUCAGCUCAGUGUCUCAGCAGAUGAAUCUUGUCAGAGUCGUACAAUCUGCAACGUAUGAAUCACAAGCAGAAUUUUUGUACUAUUAAGAUAUUUGUAUCCAUUGUGCAGGGUGCACAGAUCAGUUAAGGAUGAAAUCUGUUCCUUGUUUGAGCAGGUAAAAGACAAUUGACUUUUUAUGAAUUAUUUUUAACAAUAACCAAUUGUGUGAUAAAUCUCCAUUCAUGAUAUAUGAAGGAGGGCAUGAAAAAUCUUAAGGAUUCCAUAACCAACAAGAUUUACUGUCUAAUUUUAGCUGAAGUUUUAGUUAGAGACAUUUUUAUGUCUAAGUCAGUUACUAGGCUCUUCCCAUGUUGAGGAAUCAGCAGAUCAAGUUGCCUGUCCUGUUCAAUUUUCUCGAAUUUUUCUUUGCUGUAGUCAAGAUCCUCAGAGGGUCUCUCCUGUCCUACCUGAUCCAUAUCACUGUGGAAGGGGUCCAAAGCCUUUUCCCUUUUCCCGUCAGCACAAAUGCAGAGCCUUUCUCCCAGGAACUGGAAAGCGUUAAUGGUACAGCUUGACCUCUCUCGCAGAGGAGUUAUAACUGCCAUACUCAUAGCCACACGAAUUUUGAUAAUUAAAGCAAUUCAAAGCAGUUAAAGCAAUCUAAACAAACGUUAACCAUCAAGACAGUGCUUCUUCACCAUCUCCUGCUUUCUGACCUAUACUUUAAGAUCAAUAUUUUACACAUCUAUGUAUAGUCAAAUCAUGCCUUCUAUAGAGAGGAGCUCUGUGAGUACUUAUGAUAGUAUGCCACUUUCUCUUUAUGUAAUUCUCAAGGCCUAAGUUUCUAUUCUCUGAGAUAGGUUAGACUCCCUAUCCUUUGCUUUUUAAUCUAAUUUUUAAGGAUAGGAAACCUCAGUAUUGUCUAUGUCUACUUACUGUAUAAGUCUAUUUCCAGGCUAAAUUUUGUCAUACCAGGCUAAACAAUCACAGAAAUCUCAUGUGGACUAUGUUCAAAGAUUUUGAGAAUUUGCCCUGGCAAGACUUUUAAAUUUCUCUAAAGAAAUUUUUUUUCAUUCAGUCUCCCUAACUUCUUUCCUCUGUAUACUUAAGAACAUUUAAGCAAUUACCAUUAUACUCUCUUCUAUCCUUAAAAGGAAUUAAAUAAAAAUUUAUAAAAAUUUAUUUAUCUGGUGACU
RNAcentral lists this long non-coding RNA (3379 nucleotides) under Mus spicilegus (steppe mouse). RNAcentral's name for it is "lncRNA (ENSMSIG00000027550.1)". Lineage: Eukaryota; Metazoa; Chordata; Mammalia; Rodentia; Muridae. The record is from RNAcentral.